UCUCGCGGCAUUCCGAGUCCGGCGGACGAAGUUGGCUAGCCCCACCCCCCAAGGCUAUAGCCCACCCGUUUUUGUUGCCUUUGUCCGCUGAACGAACUUGGCGCCCCGGCCUUCGGGGGGUUAUUUUUGGGCGCGACUUUGCCCGCGGCCUACUUUUGCCACACGGAGGCCCCUCGCAAAGUCUCGCGGCAUUCCAAGCCCGGCGGACGAAGUUGGCCAGCCCCACCCCCCCAGGCUAUAGCGCACCCGUUUUUGUGGCCUUUUUCCGCUGGACGAACUUGGCGCCCCGGCCUUCGGGCAGUUAUUUUUUGGCGCGGCUUUGCCCGCGGCCUACCAUUGGCACACAGAGGCCCCUCGCAAAGUCUCACGGCAUUCCGAGUCCGGCGGACGAAGUCGGCCUAACUCACCCCCCAAGGCUAUAGCCCACCCUUUUUUGUGGCCUUUUUCCGUUGGACGAACUUGGCGUCCCGGCCUUUGGGCGGUUAUUUUUGGGUACGGCUUUGUCCGCGGCCUAUUUUUGGCACACGGAGGCCCCUCGCAAAGUCUCGCGGCAUUCCGAGUCCGGCGGACGAAGUUGGCCAGCCCCACCCCCCAUGGCUAUAUCCCACCCGUUUUUGUGGCCUUUUUCCGCUGGACGAACUUGGCGCCCCGGCCUUCGGGCAGUUAUUUUUUGGCGCGACUUUGCCCGCGGCCUACUUUUGGCACACGGAGGCCCCUCGCAAAGUCUCGCGGCAUUCCGAGUCCGGCGGACGAAGUGGGCCAGCCCCACCCCCCAAGGCUAUAGCCAACCCGUUUUUGUGGCCGUUUUCCGCUGGACGAACUUGGCGCCCCGCCCUUCGGUGGAUAUUUUUGGGCGCGGCUUUGUCCGCGGCCUAUUAUUGGCUCAAGGAGGCCCCUCGCAAAGUCUCGCGGCAUUCCGAGUCCGGCGGACGAAAUUGGCCAGCCCCACCCCCCAAGGCUAUAGCCCACCCGUUUUUGUGGCCUUUUUCCGCUAGACGAACAUGGCGCCCCGGCCGUCAGGCGGUUAUUUUUUUGGCCCCGCUUUGCCCGCGGCCUAUUUUUGGGACACGGAAGACCCCCCCAAAAUCNNNNNNNNNNNNNNNNNNNNNNNNNNNNNNNNNNNNNNNNNNNNNNNNNNNNNNNNNNNNNNNNNNNNNNNNNNNNNNNNNNNNNNNNNNNNNNNNNNNNNNNNNNNNNNNNNNNNNNNNNNNNNNNNNNNNNNNNNNNNNNNNNNNNNNNNNNNNNCACAUGGAGGGCCCUCGCAAAGUCUCGCGGCAUUCCGAGUCCGGCGGACGAAGUUGGCCAGCCCCAACCCCCAAGGCUAUAGCCCACCCUUUUUUGUGGCCUUUUUCCGCUGGACGAACUUGGCGCCCCGGCCUUCGGGCGGUUAUUUUUGGGCGCGGCUUUGUCCGCGGCCUAUUUUUGGCACACGGAGGCCCCUCGCAAAGUCUCGCGGCAUUCCGAGUCCGGCGGACGAAGUUGGCCAGCCCCACCCCCCAAGGCUAUAGCCCACCCAUUUUUGUGGCCUUUUUCCGCUGGACGAACUUGGCGCCCCGGCCUUCGGGCAGUUAUUUUUUUGCGCGGCUUUGCCCCCGGCCUACUUCAGGCACACAGAGGCCCCUCGCAAAGUCUCGCGGCAUUCCGAGUCCGGCGGCCGAAGUCGGCCGGCCCCACCCCCCAAGGCUAUAGCCCACCCGUUUUUGUGGCCUUUUUCCGCUGGACGAACUUGGCGUCCCGGCCUUCGGGCGGUUAUUUUAGGGUGCGGCUUUGCCCGUGACCUAUUUUUGGCACACGGAGGCCCCUCGCAAAGUCUCGCGGCAUUCCGAGUCCGGCGGACGAAGUUGGCCAGCCCCACCCCCCAACGCUGUAACCCACCCGUUUUUGUGGACUUUUUCCGCUGGACGAACUUGGCGCCCCGGCCUUCGGGGGGUUAUUUUUUGGCGCGGCUUUACCCGCGGCCUACUUUAGGCACACGGAGGCCCCUCGCAAAGUCUCGCGGCAUUCCGAGUCUGGCGGACGAAGUCGGCCAGCCCCACCCCCCAAGGCUAUAGCCCACCCGUUUUUGUGGCCUUUUUCCGCUGGACGAACUUUGCGCCGCGGCCUUCGGGCGGUUAUUUUUGGGCGCGGCGUUGCCCGCGGCCUAUUUUUGGCACACGGAGGCCCCUCGCAAUGUCUCGCGGCAUUCCGAGUCCGGCGGACGAAGUUGGCCAGCCCCACCCCCCAACGCUGUAACCCACCCGUUUUUGUGGACUUUUUCCGCUGGACGAACUUGGCGCCCCGGCCUUCGGGGAGUUAUUUUUGGGUGCGGCUUUGGCUGCGGCCUAUUUUUGGCACACAGAGGCCCCUCGCAAAGUCUCGCGGCAUUCCGAGUCCAGCGGACGAAGUGGGCCAGCCCCACCCCCCAAGGUUAUAGCCCACCCGUUUUUGUGGCCUUUUUCCGCUGGACGAACUUGGCGCCCAGGCCUUCGGGCGGUUAUUUUUGGCCGCGGCCUGAUUUUGGCACACGGAGGCCCAUCGGAAAGUCUCGUGGCAUCCCAAGACCGGCGGACGAAGUUGGCCAGCCCCACCCCCCAAGGCUAUAGCCCACCCGUUUUUGUGGUCUUUUUCCGCUGGACGAACUUGGCGCCCUGGCCUUCAGGCAGUUAUUUUUUGGCGCGGCUUUGCCCGCGGCCUACUUUUGGCUCACGGAGGCCCCUCGCAAAGUUUCGCGGCAUUCCGAGUCCGGCGGACGAAGUCGGCCAGCCCCACCCCCCAAGGCUAUAGCCCACCCGUUUUUGUAGCCUUUUUCCGCUGGACGAACUUGGUGCCCCGGCCUUCGGGCAGUUAUUUUUGAGCACGGCGUUGCCCGUGGCCUACCUUUGGCACACAAAUGCCCCUCGCAAAGUCUCACGGCAUUCCGAGUCCGGCGGACGAAGUCGGCCUGCCCCACCCCCCAAGGCUAUAGCCCACCCGUUUUUGUGGCCUUUUUCCGCUGGACGAACUUGGCGUCCCGGCCUUCGGGUGGUUAUUUUUAGGCCCGGCUUUGCCCGCGGCCUAUUUUUGGCACACGGAGGCCCCUCGCAAAGUCUCGCGGCAUUGCGAGUCCGGCGGACGAAGUCGGCCAGCCCCAUCCCCCAAGGCUAUAGCCCACCCGUUUUUGUGGCCUUUUUCCGCUGGACGAACUUGGUGCCCCGGCCUUCGGGCAGUUAUUUUUGGGCGCGGCUUUGCCCGCGGCCUACCUUUGGCACACAGAGGCCCCUCGCAAAGUCUCACGGCAUUCCGAGUCCGGCGGACGAAGUCGGCCUGCCCCACCCCCCAAGGCUAUAGCCCACCCAUUUUUGUAGCCUUUUUCCGCUGGACGAACUUGGCGUCCCGGCCUUCGGGCGGUUAUUUUUGGGCGCGGCUUUGUCCGUGUCCUAUUUUUGGCACACGGAGGCCCCUCGCAAAGUCUCACGGCAUUCCAAGCCCGGCAGACGAAGUUGGCCAGCCCCACCCCCCAAGGCUAUAGCUAGGGAUGGCAAAAUCCGGGUCCGGGUCCGGGUUUAACGUUUCCGGUUCCGGACCCGGAUGACAAUUUAUGCUCCCGGAUCCGGAUAUAAACCCGGAUUAUUUCACUCCGGGUCCGGUCCGGGUUCAACCCGGAAAAAUCCGGGUUUCCGGAUUGCGGGUUUCAAACCCGGUAGUUGGAUGAAGAUAGAUUUACAGAAGCAAAAAACAAUAGGAUGAAUUCAUGGGAUCACAACCAAUUUUGCUUACUUCAAUAAUAAAAUUUACAAUUAUAUGGAUAUUAUGUGCUAAGAUGCUGCGUUUGGCUAUUAACAACAAGAAAAAAAAUUAAUAAUUACCGAAGUUAAGCAAAAGCAAAAAAUUAAAAGAGAAAUACAGAGAAACGAAAGAAAAUUUCAGGUCGCAGCUAAGGCGGUGAUGGGCCAAUGAAAAAUAUGAUUGCCGGCGAGAAGGGGUUAGCAACUAGCAGCAAAGCUUGCUCUUUGGAGAGAGAUGAGACCGAAUUUGACGAUGGUGGAGCUGGGUUUUUGAUAAUAAUGGAUGAUGAAUUGAGAUGAUUUAAUUGAUGAUGUAUUGAUGAACUUGGUCGUUGGGGAUGAAGAAGACGAAGAUUGAGGUGGCAGUCGCUAGGGAUGAGGGAGAUGAGGUUUGAGGUGGCCGCUGGGGAUGAGUGAGAUGAAGAUGGAGAUGAAGAUUGAGAGAUGAACUGAUAAAGAUUGAGGGAUUGUUUUGUUUUGCUUAUGUUCCCCCCUCCCCUCAACAAGGUGGCGGCUGGUGCAAUUGUUUUGUUUUGCUUUAGGGUUUUACGGGUUUUUCUUGUUUGCUUUUAUUUUUUUUUUCUUGCCCAAUUUAUUGUUUAAUGCUUAUAUAUUUUUUAGUUAGUAAUAAAAAUUAAUAAAUAAAUAAAUGGUAGUCCGGGUCCGGGUUCCGGAGAUCCGGGUUCACCUAAACCCGGACCCGACCCGGAAUAUAUCCGGGUUUGAAAAAUUACAACCCGGAUCCGCAUUAUUAAUGCAUCCGGUGCGGGUUGAACCCGUACCGGAUAAUCCGGGUUUAUCCGGGUCCGGGCCGGGUCCGGAAAAAUUUGCCAUCCCUAGCUAUAGCCCACCCGUUUUUGUGGCCUUUUUCCGCUGGACGAACUUGGCGCCCCGGCCUUCGGGCAGUUAUUUUUUGGCGUGGCUUUGCCCGCGGCCUACCUUUGGCACACAGAGGCCCCUCGCAAAGUCUCAUGGCAUUCCGAGUCCGGCGGACGAAGUCGGCCUGCCCCACGCCCCAAGGCUAUAGCCCACCCGUUUUUGUGGCCUUUUUCCGCUGGACGAACUUGGCGUCCCGGCCUUCGGGCGGUUAUUUUUGGGCGCGGCUUUGCCCGCGGCCUAUUUUUGGCACACGGAGGCCCCUCGCAAAGUCUCGCGGCAUUCCGAGUCCGGCGGACGAAGUUGGCCAGCCCCACCCCCCAAGGCUAUAGCCCACCCGUUUUUGUGGCCUUUUUCCGCUGGACGAACUUGGCGUCCCGGCCUUCGGGCGGUUAUUUUUGGGCGCGGCUUUGCCCGCGGCCUAUUUUUGGCACACGGAGGCCCCUCGCAAAGUCUCGCGGCAUUCCGAGUCCGGCGGACGAAGUUGGCCAGCCCUACCCCCCAAGGCUAUAGCCCACCCGUUUUUGUGGCCUUUUUCCGCUGGACGAACUUGGCGCCCCGGCCUUUAGGCAGUUAUUUUUUGGCACGGCUUUGCCCGCGGCCUAAUUUAGGCCCACGAAGGCCCCUCGCAAAGUCUCGCGGCAUUCCGAGUCCGGCGGACGAAGUCGGCCAGCCCCACCCCCAAAGGCUAUAGCCCACCCGUUUUUGUGGCCUUUUUCCGCUGGACGAACUUGGCGCCCCGGCCUUCGGGCAGUUAUUUUUGGGUGCGGCAUUGCCCGUGGCCUACCUUUGGCACACAGAGGCCCCUCGCAAAGUCUCUGCCAUUCCGAGUCCGGCGGACGAAGUCGGCCUGCCCCACCCCCCAAGGCUAUAGCCCACCCGUUUUUGUGGCCUUUUUCCGCUGGACGAACUUGGCGUCCCGGCCUUCGGGCGGUUAUUUUUAGGCGCGGCUUUGCCCGCGGCCUAUUUUUGGCACACGGAGGCCCCUCGCAAAGUCUCGCGGCAUUGUGACUCCGGUGGACGAAGUCGGCCAGCCCCACCCCCCAAGGCUAUAGCCCACCCGUUUUUGUGGCCUUUUUCCGCUGGACGAACUUGGUGCCCCGGCUUUCGGGCAGUUAUUUUUGGGCGCGGCUUUGUCCACGGCCUACCUUUGGCACACAGAGGCCCCUCGCAAAGUCUCACGGCAUUCCGAGUCCGGCGGACAAAGUCGGCCUGCCCCACCCCCCAAGGCUAUAGCCCACCCGUUUUUGUGGCCUUUUUCCGCUGGACGAACUUGGCGUCCCGGCCUUCGGGCGGUUAUUUUUUGGCGCGGCUUUGCCCGCGGCCUAUUUUUGGCACACAGAGGCCCCUCGCAAACUCUCGCGGCAUUCCAAGCCCGGCGGACGAAGUUGGCCAGCCCCACCCCCCAAGGCUAUAGCCCACCCGUUUUUUGUGGCCUUUUUCCGCUGGACGAACUUGGCGCCCCGGCCUUUGGGCAGUUAUUUUUUGGUGCGGCUUUGCCCGUGGCCUACCUUUGGCACACAGAGGCCCCUCGCAAAGUCUCACGGCAUUCCGAGUCCGGCGGACGAAGUCGGCCUGCCCCACCCCCCAAGGCUAUAGCCCACCCGUUUUUGUGGCCNNNNNNNNNNNNNNNNNNNNNNNNNNNNNNNNNNNNNNNNNNNNNNNNNNNNNNNNNNNNNNNNNNNNNNNNNNNNNNNNNNNNNNNNNNNNNNNNNNNNNNNNNNNNNNNNNNNNNNNNNNNNNNNNNNNNNNNNNNNNNNNNNNNNNNNNNNNNNNNNNNNNNNNNNNNNNNNNNNNNNNNNNNNNNNCUGGACGAACUUGGCGCCCCGGCCUUCGGGCAGUUUUUUUUGGGCAUGGCUUUGCCCGCGGCCUACUUUUGGCACACAGAGGCCCCUCACAAAGUCUCACGGCAUUCCGAGUCCGGCGGACGAAGUCGGCCUGCCCCACCCCCCAAGGCUAUAGCCCACCCGUUUUUGUGGCCUUUUUCCGCUGGACGAACUUGGCGUCCCGGCCUUCGGGCGGUUAUUUUUGGGCGCGGCUUUGCCCGCGGCCUAUUUUUGGCACACGGAGGCCCCUCACAAAGUCUCGCGGCAUUACGAGUCCGGCGGACGAAGUUGGCCAGCCCCACCCCCCAAGGCUAUAGCCCACCCGUUUUUGUGGCCUUUUUCCGCUGGACGAACUUGGCGCCCCGGCCUCCGAGCGGUUAAUUUUGGGUGCGGCUUUGCCCGUGGCCUAUUUUUGGCACACGGAGGAUCCUUGCAAAGUCUCGCGGCAUUCCAAGUCCGGCGGACGAAGUUGGCCAGCCCCACCCCCCAAGGCUAUAGCCCACCCAUUUUUGUGGCCUUUUUCCGCUGGACGAACUUCGCGCCCCGGCCUUCGGGCGGUUAUUUUUGGGCGCGGCUUUGUCCGCGGCCUAUUUUUGGCACACGGAGGCCCCUCGCAAAGUCUCGCGGCAUUCCGAGUCCAGCGGACGAAGUUGGCCAGCCCCACCCCCCAAGGCUAUAGCCCACCCUUNNNNNNNNNNNNNNNNNNNNNNNNNNNNNNNNNNNNNNNNNNNNNNNNNNNNNNNNNNNNNNNNNNNNNNNNNNNNNNNNNNNNNNNNNNNNNNNNNNNNNNNNNNNNNNNNNNNNNNNNNNNNNNNNNNNNNNNNNNNNNNNNNNNNNNNNNNNNNNNNNNNNNNNNNNNNNNNNNNNNNNNNNNNNNNNNNNNNNNNNNNNNNNNNNNNNNNNNNNNNGCCUUCAGGCGGUUAUUUUUUAGGCCCGGCUUUGUCCGCGGCCUAUUUUUGGCACACGGAGGCCCCUCGAAAAGUCUCGCGGCAUUCCGAGUCCGGCGGACGAAGUUGGCCAGCCCCACCCCCCAAGGCUAUAGCCCACCCGUUUUUGUGGCCUUUUUCCGCUGGACGAACUUGGCGCCCCGGCCUUCGGGCGGUUAUUUUUGGGCGCGGCUUUGCCCGCGGCCUAUUUUUGGCACACAGAGGCCCCUCGCAAAGUCUCGCGGCAUUCCGAGUCCGGCGGACGAAGUUGGCCAGCCCCACCCCCCAAGGCUAUAGCCCACCCGUUUUUGUGGCCUUUUUCCGCUGGACGAAUUUGGCGCCCCGGCCUUCGGGUGGUUAUUUUUGGACGCGGCUUUUCCCGCGGCCUAUUUUUGGCACACGGAGGUGCCUCCCGAAGUCUCGCGCCAUUCCGAGUCCGGCGGACGAAGUUGGCCAGCCCCACCCCCCAAGGCUAUAGCCCACCCAUUUUUGUGGCCUUUUUCCGCUGGACGAACUUGGCGCCCCGGGCUUCGGGCAUUUAUUUUUGGGCGCGGCUGUGUCCGCGGCCUAUUUUUGGCACACGGAGGUGCCUUGCGAAGUCUCGCGCCAUUCCGAGACCAGAGGGUGAAGUUGGCCAGCCCCACCCCCCAAGGCUGUAGCCCACCCGUUUUUGUGGCCUUUUUCCGCUGGACAAACUUGGCGCCCCAGCCUUCGGGCAGUGAUUUUUGGGCGCGGCUGUGCCCGAAGCCUAUUUUUGGCACACGGAGGCACCUCGUAAGGUCUCGCACCAUUCCGAGUCCGGCGGACGAAGUUGGCCUGCCCCACCCCCCAAGGCUAUAGCCCACCCGUUUUUAUGGCCUUUUUCCGCUGGACGAACUUGGCGCCCCAGCCUUCGGGCGGUUAUUUUUGGGUGCGGCUGUCUCCGCGGCCUAUUUUUGGCACACGGAGACCCCUCGCAAAGUCUCGCACCAUUCCGCGCCGGCGGACGAAGUUGGCCAGCCCCACCCCCCAAGGCUAUAGUCCACCCGUUUUUGUGGCCUUUUUCCGCUGGACGAACUUGGUGCCCCAGCCUUCGGCCGGUUAUUUUUGGGUGCAGCUUUGCCCGCGGCCUAUUUACUGCACACGGAGACCGCUCAUAAAGUCUCGUGGCAUUCCGAGUCCGGCGGACGAACUUGGCCAGCCCCACCCCCCAAGGCUAUAGCCCACCCGUUUUUGUGGCCUUUUUCCGCUGGACGAACUUGGCGCCGCGGCCUUCGGGCGGUGAUUUUUGGGCGCGGCUGUGCCCGAAGCCUAUUUUUGGCACACGGAGGUGCCUCGCAUAGUCUCGCGCCAUUCCGAGUCAUGCGGACGAAGUUGGCCAGCCUCACCCCCCAAGGCUAUAGCCCACCCCGUUUUGUGGCCUUUAUCCGCUGGACGAACUUGGCGCCCCGGCCUUCGGGCGGUUAUUUUUGGGCGUGGCUGUGUCCGCUGCCUAUUUUUGGCUCACGGAGGCCCCUCGCAAAGUCUCGCGCCAUUCCGAAGACAGCGGACGAAGUUGGCCAGCCCCACCCCCCAGGCUAUAGCCCACCCGUUUUUUGUGGCUUUUUCCGCUGGACGAACUUGGCACCCCAGCCUUCGGCCGGUUAUUUUUGGGCGUAGCUUUGCCCGCGGCCUAUUUACUGCACACGGAGACCGCUCAUAAAGUCUCGUGGCAUUACGAGUCCGGCGGACGAACUUGGCCAGCCCCACCCCCCAAGGCUAUAGCCCACCCGUUUUUGUGGCCUUUUUCCGAAGGACGAACUUGGCGCCCCGGCCUUCGGGCGGUGAUUUUUGGGCGCGGCUGUGCCCGAAGCCUAUUUUUGGCACACAGAGGUGCCUCACGAAUUCUCGCGCCAUUCCGAGUCAUGCGGACGAAGUUGGCCAGCCCCACCCCCCAAGCCUAUAGCCCACCCGUUUUUGUGGCCUUUUUCCGCUGGACGAACUUGGCGCCCCGGCCUACGAACGGUUAUUUUUGGGCGCGGCUGUGUCCGCAGCCUAUUUUUGGCACACGGAGGCCCCUCGCAAAGUCUCGCGGAAUUCCGAGUCCGACGGACGAAGUUGGCCAGCCCCACCCCCCAAGGCCAUAGCCCACCCAUUUUUGUGGCCUUUUUCCGCUGGACGAACUUGGCGCCCCGGGCUUCGGGCAGUUAUUUUUGGGCGCGGCUGUGCCAGUGGCAUAGUUUUGGCACACGGAGGCGCCUCACAAAGUCUCGCGCCAUUCCAAGUCCGGCGGACGAAGUUGGCCAGCCCCACCCCCCAAGGCUAUAGCCCACCCAUUUUUGUGGCCUUUUUCCGCUGGACGAACUUGGCGCCCCGGCCUUCGGGCGUUUAUUUUUGGGCGCGGCUGUGCCCGCGGCCUAAUUUUGGCACACGGAGGUGCCUCGCGAAGUCUCGCGCCAUUCCGAGUCCGGCGGACGAAGUUGGCCAGCCCCACCCCCCAAGGCUGUAGCCCACCCGUUUUUGUGGCCUUUUUCCACUGGACAAACUUGGCGCCCCCGCCUUCGGGCCGGAAUUUUUGGGCGCGGCUGUGCCGGAAGCCUAUUUUUGGCACACGGAGGCACCUCACAAAGUCUCGCACCAUUCCGAGUCCGGCGGACGAAGUUGGCCAGCCCCACCCCCCAAUGCUAUAGCCCACCCGUUUUUAUGGCCUUUUUCCGCUGGACGAACUUGGCGCCCCGGCCUUCAGGCGGUGAUUUUUGGGUGCGGCUGUGCCCGUAGCCUAUUUUUGGCACACAGAGGCACCUCGCAAAGUCUCGGGCCAUUCCGAGUCCGGCGGACGAAGUUCGCCAGCCCCGCCCCCCAAGGCUAUAGCCAACCGUUUUUGUGGGCUUUUUCCGCUGGACGAACAUGGCACCCCGGCCUUCGGGCGGUUAUUUUUGGCCGCGGCUGUGCCCGUGGCCUAUUUUUGGCACGCGGAGGUGCCUCGUAAAGUCUCGCGCCAUUCCGAGUCCGGCGGACGAAGUUGGCCAGCCCCACCCCCCAAGGCUAUAGCCCACCCGUUUUUGUGGCCUUUUUCCGCUGGACGAACUUGGCGCCCCGACCAUCAGGCAGUUAUUUUUGGGCACGGCUGUGUCCGCAGCCUAUUUUCUGCACACGGAGGCCCCUCGCAAAGUCUCGCGCCAUUCCGAGUCCGGCGGACGAAGUUGGCCAGCCCCACACCCCAAUGCUAUAGCCCACCCGUUUUUGUGGCCUUUUUCCGCUGGAUGAACUUGGCGCUCCAGCCUUCGGGCGGUUAUUUUUGGGCGUGGCUGUGCAUGUGGCCUAUUUUUGGCACACGGAGGUGCCUCGCAAAGUAUCGUGCCAAUCCGAGUCCGGCGGACGAAGUGGGUCAGCCCCACCCCCCAAGGCUAUAGCCAACCGUUUUUGUGGGCUUUUUCCGGUGGACGAACUUGGCGCCCCGGCCUUCGGGCGGUUAUUUUUGGGCGUUGCUGUGCCCGCGGCCUAUUUUUUGCAAUCGGAGGCACCUCGCAAAGUCUCGCGCCAUUCCGAGUCCGGCGGAUGAAGUUGGCCAGCCCCACCCCCCAAGGUUAUAGCCCACCCGUUUUUGGGGCAUUUUCCCGCUGGACGAACAUGGCGCCCCGGCCUUCGGGCGGUUAUUUUUGGGCGCGGCUGUGUCCGCGGCCUAUUUUUGGCACACAGAGGCGCCUCGCAAAGUCUCGCGCCAUUCCGAGUCCGGCGGACGAAGUUGUCCAGCCCCACCCCCCAAGGCUAUAGCCCACCCGUUUUUGUGGCCUUUUUCCGCUGGACGAACUUGGCGCCCCGGCCUUCGGGCGGUUAUUUUUGGGAGCGGCUGUGCCCGCAGCCUAUUUUUGGCACAUGGAGGCACCUNNNNNNNNNNNNNNNNNNNNNNNNNNNNNNNNNNNNNNNNNNNNNNNNNNNNNNNNNNNNNNNNNNNNNNNNNNNNNNNNNNNNNNNNNNNNNNNNNNNNNNNNNNNNNGCCCCGGCAAUUCGGGAGCUGGUAGAUUUUUGGGUGCGGCUGUGCCCGCAGUCUAUUUUUGGCACACGGAGGCACCUCGCAAAGUCUCGCGCCAUUCCGAGUCCGGCGGACGAAGUUCGCCAGCCCCACCCCCAAAGGUUAUAGCCCACCCGUUUUUGUGGCCUUUUUCCGCUGCACGAACUUGGCGCCCCGGCCUUCGGGCUGUUAUUUUUGGCCACGGCUGUGUCUGCGGCCUAUUUUUGCCACACGGAGGCACCUCGCAAAGUCUCGCGCCAUUCCGAGUCCGGCGGACGAAGUUCGCCAGCCCCACCCCCCAAUGCUAUAGCCCACCCGUUUUUGUGGCCUUUUUCCGCUGGACGAACUUGGCGCCCCGGCCUUCGGGCGGUGAUUUUUGGGUGCGGCUGUGCCCGCAGCCUAUUUUUGGCACACGGAGGCACCUCGCAAAGUCUCGCGCCAUUCCGAGUCCGGCUGACGAAGUUCGCCAGCCCCACCCCCCAAUGCUAUAGCCCAACCGUUUUUGUGGCCUUUUUCCGCUGCACGAACUUGGCGCCCCGGCCUUCGGGCGGUUAUUUUUGGGCGCGGCUGUGCCCGCAGCCUAUUUUUGGCACACGGAGGCACCUCGCAAAAUCUCGCGGCAUUCCGAGUCCGGCGGACGAAGUUGGCCAGCCCCACACCCCAAUGCUAUAGCCCACCCGCAGCCUAUUUCCUGCACACGGAAGCCCCUCGCAAAGUCUCGCGCCAUUCCGAGUCCAGCGGACGAAGUUGGCCAGCCCCACAUCCCAAUGCUAUAGCCCACCCGUUUUUGUGGCCUUUUUCCGCUGGACGAACUUGGCGCUCCAGCCUUCGGGCGGUUAUUUUUUGGGCAUGGCUGUGCAUGUGGCCUAUUUUUGGCACACGGAGGUGCCUCGCAAAGUAUCGCGCCAAUCCGAGUCCGGCGGACGAAGUUGGUCAGCCCCACCCCCAAAGGCUAUACCCAACCGUUUUUGUGGCCUUUUUCCGCUGCACGAACUUGGCGCCCCGGCCUUCGGGCCGUUAUUUUUGGCCACGGCUGUGUCAGCGGCCUAUUUUUGGCACACCGAGGCUAUAGCCCACCCCUCAAGGCUAUAGCCCACCCGUUUUUGUGGCCUUUUUCGGCUGGACGAACUUGGCGCCUCUGCCUUCGGGCUGUUAUUUUUGGGUGCGGCUGACCCCGCGGCCUAUUAUUGGCACACGGAGGCGCCUUACAAAGUCUCGCGCUAUUCCGAGUUCGGCGGACGAUGUUGGCCAGCCCCACCCAAGGCUAUAGCCCACCCGUGUUUGUGGCAUAUUUCCGCAGGACGUACUUGGCGCCCCGGCCUUCGGGCGGUUAUUUUUUGGCACGGCUGUGCCCGCGGCCUAUUUUUGGCACACGGAGGCGCCUCGCAAAGUCUCGUGCAAUUGCGAGUCCGGCGGACGAAGUUGGCCAGCCCCACCCCCCAAGGCUAUAGCCCACCCGUUUUUGUGGCCUUUUUCCGCUGGACGAACUUGGCGCUCCAGCCUUCGGGCGGUUAUUUUUUGGGCGUGGCUGUGCAUGUGGCCUAUUUUUGGCACACGGAGGUGCCUCGCAAAGUAUCGCGCCAAUCCGAGUCCGGCGGACGAAGUUGGUCAGCCCCACCCCCAAAGGCUAUAGCCAACCGUUUUUGUGGCCUUUUUCCGCUGCACGAACUUGGCGCCCCGGCCUUCGGGCCGUUAUUUUUGGCCACGGCUGUGUCAGCGGCCUAUUUUUGGCACACCGAGGCUAUAGCCCACCCCUCAAGGCUAUAGCCCACCCGUUUUUGUGGCCUUUUUCGGCUGGACGAACUUGGCGCCUCUGCCUUCGGGCUGUUAUUUUUGGGUGCGGCUGUGCCCGCGGCCUAUUAUUGGCACACGGAGGCGCCUUACAAAGUCUCGCGCUAUUCCGAGUUCGGCGGACGAUGUUGGCCAGCCCCACCCAAGGCUAUAGCCCACCUGUUUUUGUGGCAUAUUUCCGCAGGACGUACUUGGCGCCCCGGCCUUCGGGCGGUUAUUUUUUGGCACGGCUGUGCCCGCGGCCUAUUUUUGGCACACGGAGGCGCCUCGCAAAGUCUCGCGCCAUUCCGAGUCCGGCGGACGAAGUUGGCCAGCCCCACCCCACAAGGCUAUAGCCCACCCGUUUUUGUGGCCUUUUUCCGCUGGACGAACUUGGCGCUCCAGCCUUCGGGCGGUUAUUUUUGGGCGUGGCUGUGCAUGUGGCCUAUUUUUGGCACAUGGAGGUGCCUCGCAAAGUAUUGCGCCAAUCCGAGUCCGGCGGACGAAGUUGGUCAGCCCCACCCCCCAAGGCUAUAGCCAACCGUUUUUGUGGGCUUUUUCUGCUGGACAAACGUGGCGCCCCGGCCUUCGGGCGGUUAUUUUUGGGCGCGGCUGUGCCCGCAACCUAAAUUUGGCACACAGAGGCACCUCCCAAAGUCUCGCACCAUUCCGAGUCCGGCGGACGAAGUCGGCCAGCCCCACCCCCCAAGGCUAUACCCCACCCGUUUUUGUGCCCUUUUUCCGCUGCACGAACUUGGCGCCCCGGCCUUUGGGCCGUUAUUUUUGGCCACGGCUGUGGCCACGGCAUAUUUUUGGCACACGGAGGCACCUCGUAAAGUCUCGCGCCAUUCCGAGUCCGGCGGAUGAAGUUCGCCCGCCCCACCCCCGAAUGCUAUAGCCCACCCGUUUUUGUGGCCUUUUUCCGCUGGACGAACUUGGCGCCCCGGCCUUCGGGCCGUGAUUUUUGGGUGUGGCUGUGCCCGCAGCCUAUUUUUGGCACACGGAGGCACUUCGCAAAGUCUCGCGCCAUUCCGAGUCCGGCGGACGAAGUUCGUCAGCCCCACCCCCCAAUGCUAUAGCCCACCCGUUUUUGUGGCCUUUUUCCGCUGGACGAAUUUGGCGCCCCGGCCUUCGGGUGGUUAUUUUUGGACGCGGCUUUGCCCGUGGCCUAUUUUUGGCACACGGAGGCAACUCGCAAAGUCUCGCGGCAUUCCGAGUCCGGCGGACGAAGUUGGCCAGCCCCACCCCCCAAGGCUAUAGCCCACCCGUUUUUUUUGGCUUUUUCCGCUGGACGAACUUGGCGCCCCGGCCUUCGGGCAGUUAUUUUUGGGCGCGGCUGUGCCAGUGGCAUAGUUUUGGCACACGGAGGUGCCUCGAAAAGGCUCACGCCAUUGCGAGUCCGGCGGACGAAGUUGGCCAGCCCCACCCCCCAAGGCUAUAGCCCACCCAUUUUUGUGGCCUUUUUCCGCUGGACGAACUUGGUGCUCCGGCCUUCGGGCGUUUAUUUUUGGGCGCGGCUGUUCCCACGGCCUAUUUUUGGCACACGGAGGUGCCUCGCGAAGUCUCGCGCCAUUCCGAGUCCGGCGGACGAAGUUGGCCAGCCCCACCCCCCAAGGCUAUAGCCCACCCAUUUUUGUGGCCUUUUUCCGCUGGACGAACUUAGCGCCCCGGGCUUCGGGCAUUUAUUUUUGGGCGCGGCUGUGUCCGCGGCCUAUUUUUGGCACACGGAGGUGCCUCGCGAAGUCUCGCGCCAUUCCGAGACCAGAGGAUGAAGUUGGCCAGCCCCACCCCCCAAGGCUGUAGCCCACCCGUUUUUGUGGCCUUUUUCCGCUGGACAAACUUGGCGCCCCAGCCUUCGGGCAGUGAUUUUUGGGCGCGGCUGUGCCCGAAGCCUAUUUUUGGCACACGGAGGCCCCUCGCAAAGUCUCGCGCCAUUCCGAGUCCGGCGGACGAAGUUGGCCAGCCCCACCCCCCAAGGCUAUAGCCCACCCGUUUUUGUGGCCUUUUUCCGCUGGACGAACUUGGUGCCCCAGCCUUCGGCCGGUUAUUUUUGGGCGCAGCUUUGCCCGCGGCCUAUUUACUGCACACGGAGACCGCUCAUAAAGUCUCGUGGCAUUCCGAGUCCAGCGGACGAACUUGGCCAGCCCACCCCCCAAGGCUAUAGCCCACCCGUUGUUGUGGCCUUUUUCCGCUGGACGAACUUGGCUCCCCGGCCUUCGGGCGGUGAUUUUUGGGUGCGGCUGUGCCCAAAGCCUAUUUUUGGCACACGGAGGCGCCUCGCAAAGUCUCGCACCAUUCCGAGUCAUGCGGACGAAGUUGGCCAGCCCCACUCCCCAAGGCUAUAGCCCACCCGUUUUUGUGGCCUUUUUCCGCUGGACGAACGGGGCGCCCCGGCCUUCAGGCGGUUAUUUUUGGGCGCGGCUGUGUUCGCGGCCUAUUUUGGAACGCGGAGCCUCCUCGUAAAGUCUCGCGCCAUUCCGAGUCCGGCGGACGAAGUUGGCCAGCCCCACCCCCCAAGGCUAUAGCCCACCCGUUUUUGUGGCCUUUUUCCGCUGGACGAACUUGGUGCCCCAGCCUUCGGCCGGUUAUUUUUGGGCGCGGCUUUGCCCGCGGCCUAUUUACUGCACACGGAGACCGCUCAUAAAGUCUCGUGGCAUUCCGAGUCCAGCGGACGAACUUGGCCAGCCCACCCCCCAAGGCUAUAGCCCACCCGUUGUUGUGGCCUUUUUCCGCUGGACGAACUUGGCUCCCCGGCCUUCGGGCGGUGAUUUUUGGCCGCGGCUGUGUCCGAAGCCUAUUUUUGGCACACGGAGGCGCCUCGCAAAGUCUCGCACCAUUCCGAGUCAUGCGGACGAAGUUGGCCAGCCCCACCCCCCAAGGCUAUAGCCCACCCGUUUUUGUGGCCUUUUUCCGCUGGACGAACUUGGCGCCCCGACCAUCGGGCAGUUAUUUUUGGGCGCGGCUGUGCCCGCAGCCUAUUUUCUGCACACGGAGGCCCCUCGCAAAGUCUCGCGCCAUUCCGAGUCCGGCGGACGAAGUUGGCCAGCCCCACACCCCAAUGCUAUAGCCCACCCGUUUUUGUGGCCUUUUUCCGCUGGAUGAACUUGGCGCUCCAGCCUUCGGGCGGUUAUUUUUGGGCGUGGCUGUGCAUGUGGCCUAUUUUUGGCACACGGAGGUGCCUCGCAAAGUAUCGUGCCAAUCCGAGUCCGGCGGACGAAGUGGGUCAGCCCCACCCCCCAAGGCUAUAGCCAACCGUUUUUGUGGGCUUUCCGGUGGACGAACUUGGCGCCCCGGCCUUCGGGCGGUUAUUUUUGGGCGUUGCUGUGCCCGCGGCCUAUUUUUUGCAAUCGGAGGCACCUCGCAAAGUCUCGCGCCAUUCCGAGUCCGGCGGAUGAAGUUGGCCAGCCCCACCCCCCAAGGUUAUAGCCCACCCGUUUUUGGGGCAUUUUCCCGCUGGACGAACAUGGCGCCCCGGCCUUCGGGCGGUUAUUUUUGGGCGCGGCUGUGUCCGCGGCCUAUUUUUGGCACACAGAGGCGCCUCGCAAAGUCUCGCGCCAUUCCGAGUCCGGCGGACGAAGUUGGCCAGCCCCACCCCCCAAGGCUAUAGCCCACCCGUUUUUGUGGCCUUUUUUCGCUGGACGAACUUGGCGCCCCGGCCUACUUUUGGCAGACGGAGGCGCCUCGCAAAGUCUCGCGCCAUUCCAAGUCCAGCGGGCGAAGUUGGCUAGCCCCACACCCCAAUGCUAUAGCCCACCCGUUUUUGUGGCCUUUUUCCGCUGGACGAACUUGGCGCUCCAGCCUUCGGGCGGUUAUUUUUUGGGCGUGGCUGUGCAUGUGGCCUAUUUUUGGCACACGGAGGUGCCUCGCAAAGUAUCGCGCCAAUCCGAGUCCGGCGGACGAAGUUGGUCAGCCCCACCCCCAAAGGCUAUAGCCAACCGUUUUUGUGGCCUUUUUCCGCUGCACGAACUUGGCGCCCCGGCCUUCGGGCCGUUAUUUUUGGCCACGGCUGUGUCAGCGGCCUAUUUUUGGCACACCGAGGCUAUAGCCCACCCCUCAAGGCUAUAGCCCACCCGUUUUUGUGGCCUUUUUCGGCUGGACGAACUUGGCGCCUCUGCCUUCGGGCUGUUAUUUUUGGGUGCGGCUGUGCCCGCGGCCUAUUAUUGGCACACGGAGGCGCCUUACAAAGUCUCGCGCUAUUCCGAGUUCGGCGGACGAUGUUGGCCAGCCCCACCCAAGGCUAUAGCCCACCUGUUUUUGUGGCAUAUUUCCGCAGGACGUACUUGGCGCCCCGGCCUUCGGGCGGUUAUUUUUUGGCACGGCUGUGCCCGCGGCCUAUUUUUGGCACACGGAGGCGCCUCGCAAAGUCUCGCGCCAUUCCGAGUCCGGCGGACGAAGUUGGCCAGCCCCACCCCCCAAGGCUAUAGCCCACCCGUUUUUGUGGCCUUUUUCCGCUGGACGAACUUUGGCGCCCCGGCAUUCGGGCGGUUAUUUUUGGGCGCGGCUGUGCCCGUGGCCUAUUUUUGGCACACGGAGGCGCCUCGCAAAGUCUCGCGCCAUUCCGAGUCCGGCGGACGAAGUUGGCCAGCCCCACCCCCCAAGGCUAUAGCCCACCCGUUUUUGUGGCCUUUUUCCGCUGGACGAACUUGGCGCUCCAGCCUUCGGGCGGUUAUUUUUGGGCGUGGCUGUGCAUGUGGCCUAUUUUUGGCACAUGGAGGUGCCUCGCAAAGUAUUGCACCAAUCCGAGUCCGGCGGACGAAGUUGGUCAGCCCCACCCCCCAAGGCUAUAGCCAACCGUUUUUGUGGGCUUUUUCUGCUGGACGAACGUGGCGCCCCGGCCUUCGGGCGGUUAUUUUUGGGCGCGGCUGUGCCUGCAACCUAAAUUUGGCACACGGAGGCACCUCCCAAAGUCUCGCACCAUUCCGAGUCCGGCGGACGAAGUCGGCCAGCCCCACCCCCCAAGGCUAUACCCCACCCGUUUUUGUGCCCUUUUUCCGCUGCACGAACUUGGCGCCCCGGCCUUCGGGCCGUUAUUUUUGGCCACGGCUGUGGCCACGGCCUAUUUUUGGCACACGGAGGCACCUCGUAAAGUCUCGCGCCAUUCCGAGUCCGGCGGACGAAGUUCGCCAGCCCCACCCCCGAAUGCUAUAGCCCACCCGUUUUUGUGGCCUUUUUCCGCUGGACGAACUUGGCGCCCCGGCCUUCGGGCCGUGAUUUUUGGGUGUGGCUGUGCCCGCAGCCUAUUUUUGGCACACGGAGGCACUUCGCAAAGUCUCGCGCCAUUCCGAGUCCGGCGGACGAAGUUCGUCAGCCCCACCCCCCAAUGCUAUAGCCCACCCGUUUUUGUGGCCUUUUUCCGCUGGACGAAUUUGGCGCCCCGGCCUUCGGGUGGUUAUUUUUGGACGCGGCUUUGCCCGUGGCCUAUUUUUGGCACACGGAGGCAACUCGCAAAGUCUCGCGGCAUUCCAAGUCCGGCGGACGAAGUUGGCCAGCCCCACCCCCCAAGGACAUAGCCCACCCAUUUUUGUGGCCUUUUUCCGCUGGACGAACUUGGCGCCCCGGCCUUCGGGCAGUUAUUUUUGGGCGCGGCUGUGCCAGUGGCAUAGUUUUGGCACACGGAGGUGCCUCGAAAAGGCUCACGCCAUUGCGAGUCCGGCGGACGAAGUUGGCCAGCCCCACCCCCCAAGGCUAUAGCCCACCCAUUUUUGUGGCCUUUUUCCGCUGGACGAACUUGGUGCUCCGGCCUUCGGGCGUUUAUUUUUGGGCGCGGCUGUUCCCACGGCCUAUUUUUGGCACACGGAGGUGCCUCGCGAAGUCUCGCGCCAUUCCGAGUCCGGCGGACGAAGUUGGCCAGCCCCACCCCCCAAGGCUAUAGCCCACCCAUUUUUGUGGCCUUUUUCCGCUGGACGAACUUGGCGCCCCGGGCUUCGGGCAUUUAUUUUUGGGCGCGGCUGUGUCCGCGGCCUAUUUUUGGCACACGGAGGUGCCUCGCGAAGUCUCGCGCCAUUCCGAGACCAGAGGAUGAAGUUGGCCAGCCCCACCCCCCAAGGCUGUAGCCCACCCGUUUUUGUGGCCUUUUUCCGCUGGACAAACUUGGCGCCCCAGCCUUCGGGCAGUGAUUUUUGGGCGCGGCUGUGCCCGAAGCCUAUUUUUGGCACACGGAGGCCCCUCGCAAAGUCUCGCGCCAUUCCGAGUCCGGCGGACGAAGUUGGCCAGCCCCACCCCCCAAGGCUAUAGCCCACCCGUUUUUGUGGCCUUUUUCCGCUGGACGAACUUGGUGCCCCAGCCUUCGGCCGGUUAUUUUUGGGCGCAGCUUUGCCCGCGGCCUAUUUACUGCACACGGAGACCGCUCAUAAAGUCUCGUGGCAUUCCGAGUCCAGCGGACGAACUUGGCCAGCCCACCCCCCAAGGCUAUAGCCCACCCGUUGUUGUGGCCUUUUUCCGCUGGACGAACUUGGCUCCCCGGCCUUCGGGCGGUGAUUUUUGGGCGCGGCUGUGCCCGAAGCCUAUUUUUGGCACACGGAGGUGCCUCACGAAGUCUCGCGCCAUUCCGAGUCAUGCGGACGAAGUUGGCCAGCCCCACUCCCCAAGGCUAUAGCCCACCCGUUUUUGUGGCCUUUUUCCGCUGGACGAACUUGGCGCCCCGGCCUUCGGGCGGUUAUUUUUGGGCGCGGCUUUGCCCGCAGCCUAUUUUCUGCACACGGAGUCCCCUCGUAAAGUCUCACGGCAUUCCGAGUCCGGCCGACAAAGUUGGCCAGCCCCACCCCCCAAGGCUAUAACCCACCCAUUUUUGUGGCCUUUUUCCGCUGGACGAACGGGGCGCCCCGGCCUUCGGGCGGUUAUUUUUCGCCGCGGCUGUGCCCGCGGGCUAUUUUUGGCACACGGAGGCACCUCGCAAAGUCUUAUGCCAUUCCGAGUCCGGCGGACGAAGUCGGCCAGCCCCACCCCCCAAUGCUAUAGCCCGCCCGUUAUUGUGGCCUUUAUCCGCUGGACGAACUUGGCACCCCGGCCUUCGGGCGGUUAUUUUUGAGCGCGGCUGUGUCCGCGGCCUAUUUUGGGCACACGGAAGCCCCUCGCAAAGUCUCGCGCCAUUCCGAGUCCGGCGGACGAAGUUGGCCAGCCCCACCCCCCAAGGCUAUAGCCCACCCGUUUUUGUGGCCUUUUUCCGCUGGACGAAUUUGGCGCCCCAGCCUUCGGGGGGUUAUUUUUGGGCGCGGCUUUGCCCGCGGCCUAUUUACUGCACACGGAGACCGCUCAUAAAGUCUCGUGGCAUUCCGAGUCCGGCGGACGAAGUGGCCAGCCCCACCCCCAAAGGCUNNNNNNNNNNNNNNNNNNNNNNNNNNNNNNNNNNNNNNNNNNNNNNNNNNNNNNNNNNNNNNNNNNNNNNNNNNNNNNNNNNNNNNNNNNNNNNNNNNNNNNNNNNNNNNNNNNNNNNNNNNNNNNNNNNNNNNNNNNNNNNNCCGCAGGACGAACUUGGCGCCCCGGCCUUCGGGGGGUUAUUUUUGGGCGCGGCUUUGCCCGCGGCCUAUUUAUUGCACACGGAGACCGCUCAUAAAGUCUCGUGGCAUUCCGAGUCCGGUGGACGAAGUUGGCCAGCCCCACCCCCCAAGGCUAUAGCCCACCCGUUUUUGGGGCCUUUUUCCGCUGGACGAACUUGGCAUCCCGGCCUUCAGGCGGUUAUUUUUAGGCGCUGCUGUGCCCGCGGCCUAUUUUUGGCACACGGAGGGGCCUCGCAAAGUCUCGCACCAUUCCGAGUCCGGCGGACGAAUUUGGCCAGCCCCACCCCCAAGGCUAUAGCCCACCCGUUUUUGUGCCUUUUUCCGCAGGACGAACUUGGCGCCCCGGCCUUUGGGCGGUUAUUUUUGGGCACGGCUGUGCCCGCAGCCUAUUUUUGGUACACGGAGGGGCCUCGCAACAUCUCGCACCAUUCCGAGUCCGGCGGACGUAGUUGGCCAGCACAACCCCCCAAGGCUAUAGCCCACCCGUUUUUGUGGCCUUUUUCCGCUGGACGAACUUUGGCGCCCCGGCAUUCGGGCGGUUAUUUUUGGGCGCGGCUGUGCCCGUGGCCUAUUUUUGGCACACGGAGGNNNNNNNNNNNNNNNNNNNNNNNNNNNNNNNNNNNNNNNNNNNNNNNNNNNNNNNNNNNNNNNNNNNNNNNNNNNNNNNNNNNNNNNNNNNNNNNNNNNNAAGUCUCGCGCCAUAUCGUCUCGCGCGGAAGUAGUUGCCCAGCCCCACCCCCCAAUGCUAUAGCCCACCCGUUUUUGUGGCCUUUUUCCGCUGGACAAACUUGGCGCCCCGGCCUUCGGGCGGUUAUUUUUGGGCGCGGCUCUGCCUGCGGCCUAUUUUUGGCACACGGAGGCCUCUCGCAAAGUCUCCCGGCAUUCCGAGUCCGGUGGACGAAGUUGGCCAGCCCCACCCCCCUAGGCUAUAGCCCACCCGUUUUUGUGGCAUUUUUCCGCUGGACGAAUUUGGCGCCCCGGCCUUCGGGUGGUUAUUUUUGGACGCGGCUUUGCCCGCGGCCUAUUAUUAGCACACGGAGGCAACUCACAAAGUCUUGCGGCAUUCCGAGUCCGGCGGACGAAGUUGGCCAGCCCCCCCCAAGGCCAUAGCCCACCCAUUUUUGUGGCCUUUUUCCGCUGGACGAACUUGGCGCCCCGGCCUUCGGGCAGUUAUUUUUGGGCGCGGCUGUGCCAGCGGCCUAUUUUUGGCACACGGAGGUGCCUCGCAAACCCUCGCGCCAUUCCAAGUCCGGCGGACGAAGUUGGCCAGCCCCACCCCCCAAGGCUAUAGCCCACCCAUUUUUGUGGCGUUUUUCCGCUGGACGAACUUGGCGCCCCGGGCUUCGGGCAUUUAUUUUUGGGCGCGGCUGUGUCCGCGGCCUAUUUUCGGCACACGGAGGUGCCUCGCGAAGUCUCGCGCCAUUCCAAGACCAGAGGAUGAAGUUGGCCAGCCCCACUCCCCAAGGCUGUAGCCCACCCGUUUUUGUACCCUUUUUCCGCUGGACAAACUUGGCGCCCCAGCCUUCGGGCCGGGAUUUUUGGGCGCGGCUGUGCCCGAAGCCUAUUUUUGGCACAUGGAGGCACCUCACAAAGUCUCGCACCAUUCCGAGUCCGGCGGACGAAGUGGGCCAGCCCCACCCCCCAAGGCUAUAGCCCACCCGUUUUUAUGGCCUUUAUCCGCUGGACGAACUUGGCGCCCCGGCCUUCGGGCGGUUAUUUUUUGCCGCGGCUGUGCCCGCGGGCUAUUUUUGGCACACAGAGGCACCUCGCAAAGUCUUACGCCAUUCCGAGUCCGGCGGACGAAGUCGGCCAGCCCCACCCCCCAAUGCUAUAGCCCGCCCGUUUUUGUGGCCUUUUUCCGCUGCACGA
Molecule: long non-coding RNA, 22476 nt
Filed under: Citrus x clementina
Lineage: Eukaryota; Viridiplantae; Streptophyta; Magnoliopsida; Sapindales; Rutaceae
Description: Citrus clementina (C. clementina) long non-coding RNA (CCLE_LNC006219)
Source: RNAcentral